AGUGAACGCUGGCGGUAGGCCUAACACAUGCAAGUCGAACGGCAGCACAGUAAGAGCUUGCUCUUACGGGUGGCGAGUGGCGGACGGGUGAGGAAUACAUCGGAAUCUACUUUUUCGUGGGGGAUAACGUAGGGAAACUUACGCUAAUACCGCAUACGACCUACGGGUGAAAGCAGGGGAUCUUCGGACCUUGCGCGAUUGAAUGAGCCGAUGUCGGAUUAGCUAGUUGGCGGGGUAAAGGCCCACCAAGGCGACGAUCCGUAGCUGGUCUGAGAGGAUGAUCAGCCACACUGGAACUGAGACACGGUCCAGACUCCUACGGGAGGCAGCAGUGGGGAACAUUGGACAAUGGGCGCAAGCCUGAUCCAGCCAUACCGCGUGGGUGAAGAAGGCCUUCGGGUUGUAAAGCCCUUUUGUUGGGAAAGAAAAGCAGCAGGUUAAUACCCCACUGUUCUGACGGUACCCAAAGAAUAAGCACCGGCUAACUUCGUG
This 492-nucleotide ribosomal RNA is filed under the name uncultured bacterium. RNAcentral describes it as "partial 16S ribosomal RNA". It matches the Rfam family "Bacterial small subunit ribosomal RNA", at positions 29 to 507 of the family's 1533-position model. The record is from RNAcentral.